GGUUAAGCGACUAAGCGUACACGGUGGAUGCCCUGGCAGUCAGAGGCGAUGAAGGGCGUGCUAAUCUGCGAUAAGCGCCGGUAAGGUGAUAUGAAGCGUUAUAACCGGCGAUACCCGAAUGGGGAAACCCAGUGUGAUUCGUCACACUAUCAUUAACUGAAUCCAUAGGUUAAUGAGGCGAACCGGGGGAACUGAAACAUCUAAGUACCCCGAGGAAAAGAAA
RNAcentral lists this ribosomal RNA (223 nucleotides) under Salmonella enterica subsp. enterica serovar 1,4,[5],12:i:-. RNAcentral describes it as "partial 23S ribosomal RNA". It matches the Rfam family "Bacterial large subunit ribosomal RNA", at positions 1 to 224 of the family's 2925-position model. The record is from RNAcentral. Lineage: Bacteria; Pseudomonadati; Pseudomonadota; Gammaproteobacteria; Enterobacterales; Enterobacteriaceae.